AGUGAAAGGUGUUUUAUUUACAAAGUGAUACUUGAACGUGAACAGUAGAAUCGUCAACUGCAAGGAAAGAGGGGAAGGAGCACUGGUGAAAACAAGAACUAUAAUCUUUAGGAAUAAACGAGAAGUUAUUAUGUUAAUGGUAGAACGGCUUUCUAAGUGAGUGAAGUCACGUCGCCAGGGGCAGAAGAGUAGGGACCCAGGUGUGUGAAGCAGAGAAAAUCCAGAUGGUUUACUUGAGCUGUAGAGUGAGUUCUGGUGAGUUCAGGAGUUAAUUCAAUGUUCAGUUAGUUGCGUUGGAGGGUGGACAGGGUACGCUUCUGCCUUGGUUCAGGAGAUGGAGGAUAACAGGAAGCUGCCAGCUUGGAAACGAGUACAUGGAAACGAAAUCCACAUAAAAUCCACCAAACACAGAUAAUCUUGAUCAUCCAGAAACUUCUGGAACCAAAGUCAAAUUUCAACGAAGAAUUAUCAGAAGGUUCAGGUUUCUGCCUGCGAAGGAACAUAAACAAUAUCAGCUUAUUGACAAAGAACGAAGCAUAGCUUAGUAGUGGCUGAGCUUGUUACCACUGAAGGCAACCACUCUGGCAUUAAAGUGCUGGCAGCCUCCUGCUUAAAUACUCCUCCAAUGCAAUCAGCAGAUAGGUUGCACCUGUCACCCAGCACACCUGAGAAACUCCAGCACCACCUGGAAACUGAAAACAAAAUGCAGACAAAAACACAAACACACACAGAAACCAAAACCCCGAUAAUUAUACUAUCAAACUCUGUCUUACCUUUUGUUAUAGAUCAAUCUACAGUGAUAGAAAAUGGGAACAACAAAGAGAUGGUAAAUAAAAACAUAUCAUUAACAAAACAUUGGGUUACUUGUGUUUUUCAUGAUUUUACUUUUGUUCAUAUUUCUCCAUGUUUCAAGUUCUCAGCAAAGAGACGGAGUCUACAGUGUCAUCCAGUUUGUACCUGCUGCUGACUGUCCCACAGGUCCUGGGAAACCUAUCAGAGAAACGUCCCAAAAUGAUGAUUCAGAUGUUUACCACGUGUACUGCACCGUUCCUGAUUUGCCUUCUGCAUCAACAAGAAUGAUGUGAUGUACAAAUUCCUGCAAAACCAAUAAAACACAUCUUCAAUCAUAAAUGAGAGAUCAAGGGCCAUACAGAUAACGAUUCUUAUUUAUGCUGGAUGACACUGUCCAGAGGAAAAGUGUACAGUGCUGUGAAGAAGUAUAUUGUUGCUCUUAAAGUUCUUAUAAUUCAUGAGAAACUCCUCUUUUUGUUAUCAUAGUUUACUUUUCACUGUGAUAUGUGUAAAAGAGAUUGAUCAAUUAGGCGACUGGGAAAUGAUUUCCUGUCUUUAAAACUUCUGAGAGACAAACUUUACCAAUCAACUUAGAUAAUAUUCUAAGCAUUCAUUUCCAGCUGGAAAACAUUUCUCUUGAAGUUCUGUUACUUUUCAUGGUGGUUAUUUUGUUUUGGUUUUGUUUAUUGUUUAAAUUAAUUAUUAAGAGACUAGAACUUAGAUUGAUUUAUAAUUAUUGUAACCCUUGAUAACAUGCAGUUAGUUUGAUUGUAAAUAAAUCUUAUUUUUGAUAAAUAUACCAAAUCUCUCCUUUGCUUGUAUAAAAUGUGUAAUAAGACAGCUCUAUAAGUAUGAAAAAGAUUGAUCUUUCAUCUAAACCUUUCAGUAGAGACUGAUCAACUCAUGUUUAAUGAGACUAUUCAAUGUUUGAUGCAUUAACAGUUUUAUGCAUCCUUUCAGUUUGCUACUGUUACAUCACUGAUGAUGUUCUGGCCUACUUAGAGGCGACUGUGGCUCAGUAGGAAGAUAAGUUGUUUGGCAAUCAGAAGGUAGUGGGUUUGAAUCCAGCUUCCUCCUGCCCUAUGUUGAUGUGCUGCAGUGCACUUGACCUCAAGUUGCCUACCUAUCGGAGUGUGAAUGUGGCUCUAGUGUAGGGCGCUUUGAGUGAUCUGUAUGAUUGGAAAGGCGUAUAUAAGUUCAGUUCAUUUACCAUUUUACUUGAUAAGCUAAGUGCUUUGCAAUAAACAUCAGACAAUUUCAUAACUUGACUCAUUGAAAAGGAUGAAAAAGAAGUUGUUAUUAUACAAUACAGUGUAGUUUAUGGUCCCUCCUGAGAAAUUUGUGCUGGACUCAAAAGUGCUGCAUUUAACAGAUAAACAAGAAUAAACAAGAAAAAUAUGCACACGGCAAUACCUUCUAUGUUUGCCACAGCAGCAGAAUACAACAUGGACAACAUACUCUUUCUACUUAACCCAUAUUGUAGCCUGAAUAGAUGUCCUGCUCAUAUAUGGAGUGAAGGUGCUAGAGUUCAGUCAACUAUAUCACCUUCAUGGCUGUGUUAACCCAAUAAGCUAGCUUAGCCAUUAGUUGUACAUCCAGGUUCUCAUAGCAUUCAUGCUGCAAUCCCAUAUUUUGGUCAACUCUCUCUGACAGUCUGGAAAAAACAAAACAAAGCAUAAUUUCCCGAUACACACCAUAAACUCUCAGUUAGCCUGACAAAAAGAGUCUUUGCUGAAUUCGAGGACAGACACAAGGACCUUCAGGCUGAAGGUGUUGUUCAUGCUGAACAUGAGUUCCUACCAAGGACCCGAAUUUGUGUCAUAAAUGUGCACCAGACUAUAAAUCCCCAUUAAUUAUGGGUCCAAACCCAUUUGCAACAACAAAGAAACAGAAAUAAAGAGGAAAUACUAAUUUGGAAGGUCACAUGCAGCUGUUAUGUUGUGCUGUGACAAAGAAUGGGUGCACAUUUGAUGAAAAAAAAAAAAAUGUUUCCCUGAGUUUUUUGUUUAGUUUAGUCUCUCCUCAUUUUUUCCGUAUCUUAGUUUCCUCAUAGCCAUUGUAACCUAUUUCCCUCAGUUCCCUACACCUGGUCAUCACACCUGACAGUACUCACACUGAUUACCUGCCUCUCCUUCCCAUUGUCUCACUUUUCACUUCCCUCUGUAUAAAAGCUCACGGGUUUCACUUCGCCGCGUUCUGCUAUCUUCCUGGUAUGUUCCUGAUUCCAUGCCAGUCUCGUUUCUGUUUCUGUUCAGCUCUCAGUAAGUCCUGUACAUCUUGUUUAUCUUGACCUGUUUCUUCAGGUCCAUUAAGCCUGCAUUGAAAACUCUGCUCAUCAAGCCUUCCAAAUAAAUAAUGGAUCUUAACUAUACCAUAGGGCUCCCGAGUAUCUCCCUGCAUCCUGGUCCGAUCCCUCAAACACAAUUCCUGACAAUUUUAAGGCCAUGUAUGUA
Girardinichthys multiradiatus is the source of this 3245-nucleotide long non-coding RNA. RefSeq lists it as uncharacterized. The transcript has 3 exons. NCBI's taxonomy places the organism in Eukaryota, Metazoa, Chordata, Actinopteri, Cyprinodontiformes, Goodeidae. The record is from RefSeq and is a predicted model, not a curated record.